Molecule: long non-coding RNA, 699 nt
Organism: Oncorhynchus gorbuscha (pink salmon)
Lineage: Eukaryota; Metazoa; Chordata; Actinopteri; Salmoniformes; Salmonidae
Exons: 3
Source: RefSeq, a predicted model, not a curated record
UGAUUGAGAGAGUGCUGCGGCUGAGUACCGGAGACAGAGCAGCGCGCCUGUACGUCGUGACAACUUGUUACCAGUUGUAGGUAGGCUAUUUAGAUUGGUCAUUAUGGAGACACCUUUUUCCAUAAAACAUAUUGACGCGCUAGUACUGACAUCACCCUCACCAACUGCUGGUCUUCACCUGUUCCCGGAGCCACCUGAAUCCAUCUGAUCCGUUUUCAGUUGGUCACAGUUAGUUUGAGACCCGCCUAUUCCAAUGAAUUAUAAUCUCUUAUUGGUUUUUCCCUGUGACAGUCAUUCCUCCUCGCCGCCUGCCUGUUGAGUGUGAUGCACUGGCGUGUCUAAUCUCUCCGCUGUAGUUCCCCAUAAUGGCGCGUCUCGAUCUGGAGCAGCUUUCGUCUAACUAAUUCCUCAUUGAAGUGAAUGGCAGCGGCUCAUCAUCCAUGUCCUGAACUCGGAAGGGACUGGGAGGGUAGUUUUGCGACGCAACAAGCGUUUGUGGAGUAGGCUACAUCCAUCGAAACGGAAUAGGUUGUUUUGAAAUUCUUGGCAGACUGUUGCGCCAGGAAAAAAUCUCAGUAGCGAUGUCCCUGCUGUGCGUCAGAGUGAAGAAAGCCAAGCUGCAUGGGCCUCCAGAUAAGUUCAAUGCCUACGUGACACUGAAGGUGCAGAAUGUCAAAAGCACGACCAUCACAGUCGGAG